UAGGGAAUCUUCCGCAAUGGGCGAAAGCCUGACGGAGCAACGCCGCGUGAGUGAAGAAGGUCUUCGGAUCGUAAAACUCUGUUAUUAGGGAAGAACAAAUGUGUAAGUAACUAUGCACGUCUUGACGGUACCUAAUCAGAAAGCCACGGCUAACUACGUGCCAGCAGCCGCGGUAAUACGUAGGUGGCAAGCGUUAUCCGGAAUUAUUGGGCGUAAAGCGCGCGUAGGCGGUUUUUUAAGUCUGAUGUGAAAGCCCACGGCUCAACCGUGGAGGGUCAUUGGAAACUGGAAAACUUGAGUGCAGAAGAGGAAAGUGGAAUUCCAUGUGUAGCGGUGAAAUGCGCAGAGAUAUGGAGGAACACCAGUGGCGAAGGCGACUUUCUGGUCUGUAACUGACGCUGAUGUGCGAAAGCGUGGGGAUCAAACAGGAUUAGAUACCCUGGUAGUCCACGCCGUAAACGAUGAGUGCUAAGUGUUAGGGGGUUUCCGCCCCUUAGUGCUGCAGCUAACGCAUUAAGCACUCCGCCUGGGGAGUACGACCGCAAGGUUUG
RNAcentral lists this ribosomal RNA (551 nucleotides) under uncultured bacterium. Its description in RNAcentral is "bacterial SSU rRNA". It matches the Rfam family "Bacterial small subunit ribosomal RNA", at positions 355 to 897 of the family's 1533-position model. The record is from RNAcentral.